Molecule: small RNA, 127 nt
Filed under: Marmota monax (woodchuck)
Lineage: Eukaryota; Metazoa; Chordata; Mammalia; Rodentia; Sciuridae
Source: RNAcentral
GCUGGGUGCAGUGGCACACACCUGUAAUCCCAGCAGCUUGGGAGGCAGAGGCAAGAGUAUCAUGAGUUCAAAGCCAGCCUCAGCAAUGCAGUGAGACCCCCAGUAACUUAGUGAGACCCUGUCUCAA